UUAAAUUAAUAGAUAUUAACUUUACUUAAUAACCCGAAAUAGGUAGAGCUAAUUUAAAUUAGAGUUUUGGGCUAUAUAGUAUAAUGUGGCAAAAUUAUAAAAUAAAUUUUAAUUAGGGGUGAAAGGCCUAUCAAUACCUAUAGAUAUCUGGAUAAGCCUUAAAAAUAUUUAGUAUUAUGAGUCAUAUAUAAAAUUUUAAGGUUUUAUAUUAAAAAAAUAGUGUUAGUAGAAUAAUAGUAAAUAAAUUAAUCUUUAUUUGCUUUUGUAAUAAUAAAAUUAUUUUACUAUAAAAUUUUAAUUUCUAAGGUUUCACUGCAUUUAAUAUAAUAUAGAGUGGAUUUUGUUUAAAUUAGUAAUAGUAUAUAAACUAUUUAAAAGGAACUCGGCAAAUGAGAAUCUCAACUGUUUAUCAAAAACAUAGCUAGCUGUUGUUUUACCUAGUUCUUUCUGCCCGGUGAUAAAUUUUAACGGCCGCAGUACACUGACUGUGCAAAGGUAGCAUAAUAAUUUGACUUUUAAUUGAAGUCCAGUAUAAACGGGAACAUGGGAUAAGACUGUCUCUUAUUUAUUUAUAUUAAAUUACUCUAGAAAGUGAAAAGACUUUCGCCGAUUUAAAAGACGAGAAGACCCUAUGAAUUUUUAUUAAGAAGGUAAGCAUACUUUUAUUUUUUUGUUGGGGCAACAAAUUGACACCGGUUUAUAAUAAACUUUACAGCAAAUUAAUUUUAAUGCGAACUUAGGUGAAAGGAAUAAGUAUACACCGAAUGUUAUUAAUCAAAAGUAAAUUACUAUAGGGAUAACAGCAUAAUUUUAUUAACUAGAUGGUGACCUCGAUGUUGGACUAGGAAACAAUUAAGGUAGCACUUUAAUUGGGUGGUUCUGUUCGAACCUUACUUCCU
RNAcentral lists this ribosomal RNA (899 nucleotides) under Acrotoma claussi. RNAcentral's name for it is "partial 16S ribosomal RNA". The record is from RNAcentral. Lineage: Eukaryota; Metazoa; Mollusca; Gastropoda; Stylommatophora; Clausiliidae.